GUUUGAUCCUGGCUCAGGAUGAACGCUAGCGGCAGGCCUAAUACAUGCAAGUCGAGGGGCAGCAUAUUCUUCGGAAUGAUGGCGACCGGCGCACGGGUGCGUAACGCGUAUGCAAUUUACCUACUACUAAGGGAUAGCCCGGGGAAACUCGGAUUAAUACCUUAUAGAAUUAUUUGAUGGCAUCUGAAGAUAAUUAAAGAUUUAUCGGUAGUAGAUGAGCAUGCGUCUGAUUAGUUAGUUGGCGAGGUAACGGCUCACCAAGGCGAUGAUCAGUAGGGGGUCUGAGAGGAUGAUCCCCCACACUGGAACUGAGACACGGUCCAGACUCCUACGGGAGGCAGCAG
RNAcentral lists this ribosomal RNA (344 nucleotides) under Exanthemachrysis gayraliae. RNAcentral's name for it is "partial Bacterial small subunit ribosomal RNA". It matches the Rfam family "Bacterial small subunit ribosomal RNA", at positions 11 to 354 of the family's 1533-position model. The record is from RNAcentral. Lineage: Eukaryota; Haptophyta; Pavlovophyceae; Pavlovales; Pavlovaceae.